UGCAUCGAUGAAGAACGCAGCGAAAUGCGAUAAGUAGUGUGAAUUGCAGAAUUCCGUGAAUCAUUGAAUCUUUGAACGCACAUUGCGCCUCCUGGCAUUCCGGGAGGCGUGCCUGUCCGAGCGCCAUUGCAAUCUACUCAAGCUCCGUGUGCCAGCUUGGUCGUGGCGGAAGAGUCGUCGGACUCCCCUCCGAAAUGCAAUGGGCGGAAGAUUGCCGGUGUGGGGCGUAGUAACAACGUUCGCUUCCCAUCCGGUGCGCUUCCCGCCGUCAAACCCCUCUCCCGUGACUCCAUCGAUUGACCUCGGAUCAGGUAGGGAUACCCGCUGAACUUAAGCAUAUCAAUAAGCGGAGGAA
Molecule: ribosomal RNA, 355 nt
Filed under: Sepultaria aurantia
Lineage: Eukaryota; Fungi; Ascomycota; Pezizomycetes; Pezizales; Pyronemataceae
Description: eukaryotic LSU rRNA
Rfam family: 5.8S ribosomal RNA (bases 1-126)
Source: RNAcentral